UUAUAGUUCCUAUACCCUGCUCGGUCAAAAAGCGAUUGAAAUCGUUACAUCACCGGCAGACUCAGUUGCAAUACUAACCAGGUACUAUUUUCUGUUCAGUAUACCUCUCUAGCACACGUAGAUAGGCAUAUACUCCAUGCAUAUAGGAAAUUUUUAGUUUUUUAAAAAUUUAAAAAUUAAUUAACCUUGCCAUUAUCUUCAUACCUUACAUCUCUGCGGGAUAUGCAGACUGAUGUCACUGUACAUUUAGAUGUUACAACUAAUAUAGGUAAUAGUCAUAUUUAUUCUCUAUAUGAACUAAUAUGCACUUGCAGAUAUAUAUAUCUUCAUAAGCAUGAAUGUGUAAUCUAUUCCUUUUUAUGCUAUACAGCAUUAACGGAAUUAACCCUGAAUGGUCAGCACACUACCUAUUUUUGGUAUUUCUUCUGAAAUUAUUCUAUUAUCGCGUCCAUCUGACAUACAGCCAUGAUUAUCGUCAAUUAACAUCAGCAAGGUAAUCCCACCAUUUAAUUAUUAUCUUUCCCCUGUUUUGAGCAAUUCUACCUAUACGGUGUGCCUUAGCAAUUAUAUUAUACAUAUUCUUUUUUUUCUCAUUUUUCAUUUUUACUUCUUAUUUUCCAUUUUCAGUUUCUGCCUGCCUCCGUCCUCUUUUUGUCUCUCUAGGCCAGCUUUCUCUAUGUGGUCUGCUCUUUGUGGGACAGCCAAGCUUAGGCUGUGCAGAGACCUUUCCCUCCCCUAGUGGGAUUACAUCUGGGAUCUGAUCUCGCCACGGCACAUGCCCUUAACCAUCUACUCCGUUUGUGCAAGACUAUCACCCUCCACGGGUUCCUGACGAAGCCCUUUCGGGCGAAACUAGUUGAACCCCCAAAAAACGUGGGCUGUGAUGAAGAUCACCUGCAGUGUCUUGCAUGUGUAAUACAUCAUACAAACUAUAGUCUGACUGUUUUUAAUAUGUACUAAACAUUUAAUAUUGAUCUUUUGUAUUUUUCUCACUUUUUGUAAAAAUAAAUUUAUGAUA
Long non-coding RNA from Rana temporaria (common frog), 1018 nucleotides. RefSeq lists it as uncharacterized. Lineage: Eukaryota; Metazoa; Chordata; Amphibia; Anura; Ranidae. The transcript is spliced from 2 exons. The record is from RefSeq and is a predicted model, not a curated record.